RNAcentral lists this long non-coding RNA (818 nucleotides) under Mus musculus (house mouse). RNAcentral's name for it is "long non-coding RNA chr10:80917672-80918490". The record is from RNAcentral. Lineage: Eukaryota; Metazoa; Chordata; Mammalia; Rodentia; Muridae.
GAGCAAAACUUAGCUGUCGGCAUCUGCCCCUGGGGGUCCCCGGUGGACUGGGCUUCAGCGUUAUGCAUCUGUACUGAGGUCCCCGGUAGGCAGUAUUUAGCCCUUAUAUUCCAGCCCCAGAGUCCCCAGUGAACAAGACUCAGCUAGCUGUGCACCAGCCCCCGGGUCCCCUGUGGGCUGGGCUUAGCUAGUUCUAUGCACCGUCUCCGGGAUCCCGGGUGGGCAGGACUCCGCUCAUUUCACCUAUCACCAGGAUCAAGCUCCCCGCGUCCCCGGUGCCGACCCACGUACCUCGCGAGUGGUCACCUCCUCCUUCUCGGAGAUCCGGAGCAGCAACCUAUCAUUCUCCAGCUCCAGCGCGCGGACACGGUCGAUGUAGUGUGCCAGGCGGUCGUUGAGCUCACGGAGCUCCUCCUUCUCCUGCAGCCGAGACAGACGCGUGGGCGACAGCGGCGUGGCGGGCCCCGCGUGGGGCGGCAGAGACGCCAUGGCGGAGGUGGCGGCGGCGGGAGAAUCACCUCGGUUGCCCGAAUGCGGCGCGCUCAUUCAAUCCGCGCCGCGGAAGAUGGCGCCGCCGCCCGCAGCGCGCCGGAAUUUGUAGUCUCCUUGGCGCGGAGCACGCAGGGAGCCGUAGUCCACAGGGCAGCUUGCGAGGCAUGCCAGGAGAUGUAGUUUCCAGCUUUCCAGUAAAACCCGGGGUUUGGCAGUUACCCUGAUUGCGGGUGGAGGAGGCGUUCUGAUUUCUACAUGUGUACAGAUGCACACAUGAAGCCACAUAAGCGCACACACAGAAAUCAAUUAAUAAAUUAAACAAAUGC